AGGUGGAAAAAGGAGAACCCAAUGAUGGCAAGAUCUUAGGAAUCGGCAGCACCGAGGACUGCGUGGAGAUGAAGAAAUCCUUCGGGUACACCUGGAACGACGAGGACUGCGGCAACGAGCGGAGGUACGUCUGUGAACGCCCAGCUGAGUAAAACAGGAGGAAACUUCUGAAGAAGAAGAAGAAGAAGAAGAAGAAGAAGAAGAAGAAGAAGAAGAAGAAUGAGUUGGAGAGACAUCAAAAUAAUUUCUGAGACUAUUUUAUCAUCAAUAAAAAUUAAGUCAUUCGGAUUCGGAAUAAAUCUAAAAUUAUGACCUGUUACUCUGACAAUUUCUCAGGGAAAUAGAAUUAAAUUGAACCUACUGCAGAAA
Molecule: long non-coding RNA, 369 nt
Organism: Macrobrachium nipponense
Lineage: Eukaryota; Metazoa; Arthropoda; Malacostraca; Decapoda; Palaemonidae
Exons: 2
Source: RefSeq, a predicted model, not a curated record